This 1388-nucleotide ribosomal RNA is filed under the name uncultured bacterium. Its description in RNAcentral is "bacterial SSU rRNA". It matches the Rfam family "Bacterial small subunit ribosomal RNA". The record is from RNAcentral.
GAAUUCGCCCUUAGAGUUUGAUCCUGGCUCAGGACGAACGCUGGCGGCGUGCUUAACACAUGCAAGUCGAGCGAAGACUUUUCCGUCUUGAUACGGAUUAUCGGCAGACGGGUGAGUAACACUUGCGCAACCUGCCUCUGACAGGGGAAUAGCCUUCCGAAAGGGAGAUUAAUACCGCAUAAGAUUGUAGUACCGCAUGGUACAGCAAUUAAAGGAGCAAUCCGCUAUGAGAUGGGCCCGCGGCGCAUUAGCUAGUUGGUGAGGUAACGGCUCACCAAGGCGACGAUGCGUAGCCGACCUGAGAGGGUGAUCGGCCACAUUGGGACUGAGACACGGCCCAGACUCCUACGGGAGGCAGCAGUGGGGAAUAUUGCACAAUGGGCGAAAGCCUGAUGCAGCAACGCCGCGUGAGGGAAGACGGUUUUCGGAUUGUAAACCUCUGUCUUCGGUGACGAAAAAAAUGACGGUAGCCGAGGAGGAAGCCACGGCUAACUACGUGCCAGCAGCCGCGGUAAUACGGAGGAUCCGAGCGUUAUCCGGAUUUAUUGGGUUUAAAGGGUGAGUAGGCGGUAGUAUAAGUCAGCGGUGAAAACUUGCAGCUCAACUGUAAGCUUGCCGUUGAAACUGUAUUACUUGAGUUAAGUUGAGGUAUGCGGAAUGUGGUGUGUAGCGGUGAAAUGCAUAGAUAUACCACAGAACGUCGAUUGCGAAGGCAGCAUACUAAGUUUAUACUGACGCUGAUGCACGAAAGCGUGGGGAUCAAACAGGAUUAGAUACCCUGGUAGUCCACGCCGUAAACUAGGAUUACUCGUUGUUUGCGAUAUACUGUAAGCGACUGCGCGAAAGCGUUAAGUAUGCCGCCUGGGGAGUACGUACGCAAGUAUGAAACUCAAAGGAAUUGACGGGGGCCCGCACAAGCGGUGGAGCAUGUGGUUUAAUUCGAUGCAACGCGCAGAACCUUACCAGGGUUUGACAUGGAAUCGCCGCAGCGAGAGAUCGCUGUUUAGUGUUUACACUACGGUUCACACAGGUGCUGCAUGGCUGUCGUCAGCUCGUGUCGUGAGAUGUUGGGUUAAGUCCCGCAACGAGCGCAACCCAUAUUUCUAGUUGCUACUCGCAAGAGAGCUCUCUAGAGAGACUGCCGGGGACAACCCGGAGGAAGGUGUGGAUGACGUCAAGUCCUCAUGGCCCUUACAUCCUGGGCUACACACGUGCUGCAAUGGUCGGUACAAAGGGCAGCAAAACCGUGAGGUGGAGCGAAUCCUCAAAGCCGGCCUCAGUUCGGAUUGGAGUCUGCAACUCGACUCCAUGAAGCUGGAAUCGCUAGUAAUCGUGGGUCAGCAUACCACGGUGAAUACGUUCCCGGGCCUUGUACACACCGCCCGUCA